Molecule: ribosomal RNA, 435 nt
Filed under: uncultured bacterium
Lineage: Bacteria
Description: partial 16S ribosomal RNA
Rfam family: Bacterial small subunit ribosomal RNA
Source: RNAcentral
AGCGAACGCUGGCGGCAGGCUUAACACAUGCAAGUCGAGCGGGCAUAGCAAUAUGUCAGCGGCAGACGGGUGAGUAACGCGUGGGAACGUACCUUUUGGUUCGGAACAACACAGGGAAACUUGUGCUAAUACCGGAUAAGCCCUUACGGGGAAAGAUUUAUCUCCGAAAGAUCGGCCCGCGUCUGAUUAGCUAGUUGGUGAGGUAAUGGCUCACCAAGGCGACGAUCAGUAGCUGGUCUGAGAGGAUGAUCAGCCACAUUGGGACUGAGACACGGCCCAAACUCCUACGGGAGGCAGCAGUGGGGAAUAUUGGACAAUGGGCGCAAGCCUGAUCCAGCCAUGCCGCGUGAGUGAUGAAGGCCCUAGGGUUGUAAAGCUCUUUUGUGCGGGAAGAUAAUGACGGUACCGCAAGAAUAAGCCCCGGCUAACUUCGUG